RNAcentral lists this ribosomal RNA (875 nucleotides) under Halomonas sp. CPA-61. RNAcentral describes it as "bacterial SSU rRNA". It matches the Rfam family "Bacterial small subunit ribosomal RNA", at positions 54 to 926 of the family's 1533-position model. Lineage: Bacteria; Pseudomonadati; Pseudomonadota; Gammaproteobacteria; Oceanospirillales; Halomonadaceae. The record is from RNAcentral.
CAUGCAAGUCGAGCGGUAACAGGUCCAGCUUGCUGGACGCUGACGAGCGGCGGACGGGUGAGUAAUGCAUGGGAAUCCACCCGAUAGUGGGGGAUAACCUGGGGAAACCCAGGCUAAUACCGCAUACGUCCUACGGGAGAAAGGGGGCUYCGGCUCCCGCUAUCGGACGAGCCCAUGUCGGAUUAGUUAGUUGGUGAGGUAACGGCUCACCAAGACCGCGAUCCGUAGCUGGUCUGAGAGGAUGAUCAGCCACAUCGGGACUGAGACACGGCCCGAACUCCUACGGGAGGCAGCAGUGGGGAAUAUUGGACAAUGGGGGCAACCCUGAUCCAGCCAUGCCGCGUGUGUGAAGAAGGCCCUCGGGUUGUAAAGCACUUUCAGCGAGGAAGAACGCCUGACGGUUAAUACCCGUCAGGAAAGACAUCACUCGCAGAAGAAGCACCGGCUAACUCCGUGCCAGCAGCCGCGGUAAUACGGAGGGUGCAAGCGUUAAUCGGAAUUACUGGGCGUAAAGCGCGCGUAGGUGGCUUGACAAGCCGGUUGUGAAAGCCCCGGGCUCAACCUGGGAACGGCAUCCGGAACUGUCAGGCUAGAGUGCAGGAGAGGAAGGUGGAAUUCCCGGUGUAGCGGUGAAAUGCGUAGAGAUCGGGAGGAAUACCAGUGGCGAAGGCGGCCUUCUGGACUGACACUGACACUGAGGUGCGAAAGCGUGGGUAGCAAACAGGAUUAGAUACCCUGGUAGUCCACGCCGUAAACGAUGUCGACCAGCCGUUGGGUGCCUUGUGCACCUUGUGGCGAAGUUAACGCGAUAAGUCGACCGCCUGGGGAGUACGGCCGCAAGGUUAAAACUCAAAUGAAUUGACGGGGGCCCGCAC